Molecule: long non-coding RNA, 691 nt
Filed under: Lepisosteus oculatus (spotted gar)
Lineage: Eukaryota; Metazoa; Chordata; Actinopteri; Semionotiformes; Lepisosteidae
Description: lncRNA (ENSLOCG00000022472.1)
Source: RNAcentral
UGGGCCAGUGGCAGAACAAGACAAUUCCAAGUUUAAAAGUGUCUUUCUCACAUGACCGGCCCGUGUGAACUAACGCCCCGCACGCCAGGCUCCGGCAGGGCAGACACGGGGAAACACAAACACGAGUGACCAACUCGCCCCUCUCCCUGUCCAGGCCCGACACUCACUGCGAGAGAUGCUCACACCAGUCAUCUGCCAUCAGGCUCAAUUAAUAUUUCUGAUGGAGCUCUCUACAGGUGACACACACACGUGUGCCAUGUAUACAGUUUGUGAGAAACCGAUUUUCAGUUUCUAUACCCAGGCGCAUUUUAGAACUGUUUUCUGGGGUGUGCUCGGGACACACCAAGUAUGUCCACACACACGCACACACACAUACACACACUUUGCCCACAGGCGAUCUACAUCAUCGUCAUUAUCAUACAUAAUAAUAGUGACGAAUGAGGUGAGCGGAGAGGCCGCCGUGUCCCGGGGUAGCUCGCUUUUCCCUCGCAGCUCGGUGAUCACAGAUCACAGUCCAGCCCGGGGACCUCGCGCUGCCCGCCCGGCUCCAGGCUCGAGCUCCCUGCCCCUAGACCAGCCUGCACACUCGGUCUCUCCUCCCUCUCUCCCUCCCUCUGCCUCUCUCUCCCUCUCCCUCUCUCGCCCGGGAGCCCUCUGUCAGUCCACGCUCGGGGCACAGGAGACAGAUUGA